RNAcentral lists this ribosomal RNA (238 nucleotides) under uncultured bacterium. RNAcentral describes it as "partial 16S ribosomal RNA". It matches the Rfam family "Bacterial small subunit ribosomal RNA", at positions 118 to 353 of the family's 1533-position model. The record is from RNAcentral.
UGAGGAACCUGCCUUGGAGAGGGGAAUAACACUCCGAAAGGAGUGCUAAUACCGCAUGAUGCAGUUGGGUCGCAUGGCUCUGACUGCCAAAGAUUUAUCGCUCUGAGAUGGCCUCGCGUCUGAUUAGCUAGUAGGCGGGGUAACGGCCCACCUAGGCGACGAUCAGUAGCCGGACUGAGAGGUUGACCGGCCACAUUGGGACUGAGACACGGCCCAGACUCCUACGGGAGGCAGCAUG